RNAcentral lists this small RNA (528 nucleotides) under Pan troglodytes (chimpanzee). RNAcentral describes it as "processed transcript". Lineage: Eukaryota; Metazoa; Chordata; Mammalia; Primates; Hominidae. The record is from RNAcentral.
ACUUACAGCUUUGUUCUUGAAUGUGCAUGAAAUCAGCUUACCACGGAGGUGAAGGCAAGAACUCUGGUGCAACAGCUUUGAAAUACCAAGCUGUGCUGAGGAGAAAGGCCCUGUUGAUUUUUCUGGUAGUUCACAGACUGCGUUGGUCCAGUAAGCAGAGAUGAACACCAGAUUUCAAAACCCAGCCCUGUCUGUUAAGAGUGAGGCUGAAUAUUACUGAAGAAUGAUCCUGUUCAACCUCCUAGUGCCUCUACUGAAUUAUUCCUCUUUUAAAUGGUUAAUGAACCAAUAAUUUUUAAAUCAUACCAAAAAUAGUAAGAAAAUAUGCAAACACUCUGUGAUCAAACUUAAAAGUCAUUGCCAUUCAUCAUUAAUAAAAGUUGCCAUUUCAACUACAUCCCAACAUUACCUAAUAGGGUAUUCAGGGAACCUAUCUUAAAUUGUGCUUAUCUAAAUCUUGGAGCUUUGAGCUAGGGGAGGAGAAUGUAUUAGACUAAAUACAAACUGAGGGGUUGUAAGGGAGUCUCA